AACACGACUCUCGGCAACGGAUAUCUUGGCUCUCGCAUCGAUGAAGAACGUAGCGAAAUGCGAUACCUGGUGUGAAUUGCAGAAUCCCGCGAACCAUCGAGUCUUUGAACGCAAGUUGCGCCCGAGGCCACUCGGUCGAGGGCACGCCUGCCUGGGCGUCACGC
Molecule: ribosomal RNA, 164 nt
Filed under: Bromus benekenii
Lineage: Eukaryota; Viridiplantae; Streptophyta; Magnoliopsida; Poales; Poaceae
Description: 5.8S ribosomal RNA
Rfam family: 5.8S ribosomal RNA
About the family: 5.8S ribosomal RNA (5.8S rRNA) is a component of the large subunit of the eukaryotic ribosome. It is transcribed by RNA polymerase I as part of the 45S precursor that also contains 18S and 28S rRNA.
Source: RNAcentral